This 481-nucleotide ribosomal RNA is filed under the name uncultured bacterium. Its description in RNAcentral is "partial 16S ribosomal RNA". It matches the Rfam family "Bacterial small subunit ribosomal RNA", at positions 28 to 523 of the family's 1533-position model. The record is from RNAcentral.
GACGAACGCUGGCGGCGUGCCUAACACAUGCAAGUCGAACGGAGAUACGAUUUCGGUUGUAUCUUAGUGGCGAACGGGUGAGUAACGCGUGAGCAACCUGACUCUUAGAGGGGGAUAACACCUGGAAACAAGUGCUAAUACCGCAUAAGACCACGACAUGGCAUCAUGACGAGGUCAAAGGAGCAAUCCGCUGAGAGAGGGGCUCGCGUCCCAUUAGAUAGAUGGCGGGGUAACGGCCCACCAUGUCAGCGAUGGGUAGCCGAGCUGAGAGGCUGAUCGGCCACACUGGAACUGAGACACGGUCCAGACUCCUACGGGAGGCAGCAGUGGGGAAUAUUGGGCAAUGGGCGCAAGCCUGACCCAGCAACGCCGCGUGAGGGUAGAAGGCUUUCGGGUUGUAAACCUCUGUCCUUGGUGACGAAAAAAAUGACGGUAGCCAAGGAGGAAGCCCCGGCUAACUACGUGCCAGCCGCCGCAGUAA